Molecule: ribosomal RNA, 922 nt
Filed under: uncultured archaeon
Lineage: Archaea
Description: bacterial SSU rRNA
Rfam family: Archaeal small subunit ribosomal RNA
Source: RNAcentral
UUCCGGUUGAUCCUGCCGGAGGUAACUGCUAUCCGGAGUCGAUUAAGCCAUGCGAGUCUAAAGGGUUUCUUCGGAAACCUUGGCGGACUGCUCAGUAACACGUGGAUAACCUACCCUUGGGACUGGAAUAACCCCGGGAAACUGGGGAUAAUACCGGAUAGAUCAGGGAUGCUGGAAUGCACCUUGAUCCAAAGCUCCGGCGCCCAAGGAUGGGUCUGCGGCCUAUCAGGUAGUAGUGGGUGUAACGUACCUACUAGCCAACGACGGGUACGGGUUGUGAGAGCAAGAGCCCGGAGAUGGAUUCUGAGACACGAAUCCAGGCCCUACGGGGUGCAGCAGGCGCGAAACCUUUACAAUGUGCGAAAGCAUGAUAAGGGAACUCCGAGUGCCAGCAUCUAAUGUUGGCUGUCCUUGUGCCUAAAACGCACAAGAUAGCAAGGGCCGGGUAAGACCGGUGCCAGCCGCCGCGGUAACACCGGCGGCCCGAGUGGUAGCCGCUAUUAUUGGGUCUAAAGGGUCCGUAGCCGGUUCGAUAAGUCCUCUGGGAAACCUGGUUGCUUAACAAUCAGACUGCCAAGGGAUACUGUCGAACUUGAGACCGGGAGAGGUAAGAGGUACUUCAGGGGUAGGAGUGAAAUCUUGUAAUCCCUGGGGGACCAUCUGUGGCGAAGGCGUCUUACCAGAACGGGUCUGACGGUGAGGGACGAAAGCUGGGGGCGCAAACCGGAUUAGAUACCCGGGUAGUCCCAGCCGUAAACGAUGCUCGCUAUGUGUCAGGUACGGUGUGACCGUAUCUGGUGCCGUAGGGAAGCCGUGAAGCGAGCCACCUGGGAAGUACGGCCGCAAGGCUGAAACUUAAAGGAAUUGGCGGGGGAGCACUACAACGGGUGGAGCCUGCGGUUUAAUUGGAUUCAACGCCGGG